Long non-coding RNA from Rhineura floridana, 1092 nucleotides. RefSeq lists it as uncharacterized. The record is from RefSeq and is a predicted model, not a curated record. The transcript has 3 exons. Lineage: Eukaryota; Metazoa; Chordata; Lepidosauria; Squamata; Rhineuridae.
GUUUUCUAUGCAGAUCACCUGUGAAUAGCAACAGAUCACACUGCUAUAAAAGGGACGGCUACAGGAGCCAGUUUGAAAAUUGGCAAUAUUUUCAACUACCCUGUAUGAAGAAGGGAAAAAGUAGACAAGGACCACCAUCACAGGCCAAUGGGGUUGUAAACAGCAAUUCAGAUGGCUUGUUCCAUAAACUGCAGCACAGCUGGAAACCAGUAAAUAGAACAGGAAUAUGUAUCUUCAAACACUGGGCCAAACUCCAUUAACGACUGCGUCCUAAGAAGCUUGUCUGGACAUAGUGGAUGUCCAGGAGAUUGUGGAGGAUUCCAGUCAAUAGAUGAUAGGGGAGUCCGCUUGGGAUGGUGGCGAUAGACCCUUGGUGCAAAGACGCUGUUACUCUCCAAAGGAUGCUGCGGGGUAGCUGGGGAAAGCUGGUCAACAGAUGUCAAAGACUGGCGCCUCGCAAGGCAAGACAAAGAGUAACUUCUGCUAACUGUAUCCCCGGGCAUGAAGUCCUUUUGCCCAAAUCCACUGCUGUGUUGUCCUGAAGGCAUCUGCAAGGUACCUUCUGAGCAAUGUCCAAGAGAAUGAGUAGAAUGCCUUCUCUUCAAGACAUGAGACCUUCUGCCAUAAGUAUCCCAACAGGUGGAAUCUUCUGCAUGGUGCCUCUUCAUAUAUGCAUCAUAUAGCAUCCUUGGUCUAAAUAAAGUUCUAUGCUCAUCUGUGGCGCGCAGUGUCCUUGUUCUGUCUGACAAAAACAUGCUCCGGUCAUUUCUGUGUACCGCUCUGAGGACACUUGGUGGAGUAACAGUCAGAUACUGAUUAGUGUCUGAUGCUCUGGAAACUGAGUCUAUUGAAGUCCUCCUGUUUGCCGCAUCUCGGGAUUGUUCCUGUGCCAGCUGGUCAUCCAGACUGCCCAGAACUGGGGGGAGGGGAGAGAGACAUUAAUAUAUAUAUGAGCAGACACAAUUAAGUUGUUAUUUGUGCCAUAAAAUCCUUAUGUAACCCAUCUCAGACAUCAAAUUAAACUGACCAUUCUAGACGUUUGAAGAAAACUACAGCUGAACAGACAAAAUUAAAUCACUCUGAACAACAAUC